This 467-nucleotide ribosomal RNA is filed under the name uncultured bacterium. RNAcentral describes it as "partial 16S ribosomal RNA". It matches the Rfam family "Bacterial small subunit ribosomal RNA", at positions 28 to 507 of the family's 1533-position model. The record is from RNAcentral.
GACGAACGCUGGCGGCGUGCUUAACACAUGCAAGUCGAACGGAAAGGCCCUGCUUUUGUGGGGUGCUCGAGUGGCGAACGGGUGAGUAACACGUGAGUAACCUGCCCUUGACUUUGGGAUAACUUCAGGAAACUGGGGCUAAUACCGGAUAGGAGCUCCUGCUGCAUGGUGGGGGUUGGAAAGUUUCGGCGGUUGGGGAUGGACUCGCGGCUUAUCAGCUUGUUGGUGGGGUAGUGGCUUACCAAGGCUUUGACGGGUAGCCGGCCUGAGAGGGUGACCGGCCACAUUGGGACUGAGAUACGGCCCAGACUCCUACGGGAGGCAGCAGUGGGGAAUAUUGCACAAGGGGCGGAAGCCUGAUGCAGCAACGCCGCGUGCGGGAUGACGGCCUUCGGGUUGUAAACCGCUUUCGCCUGUGACGAAGCGUGAGUGACGGUAAUGGUAAAGAAGCACCGGCUAACUACGUG